This 435-nucleotide ribosomal RNA is filed under the name Haemaphysalis obesa. Its description in RNAcentral is "partial large subunit ribosomal RNA". Lineage: Eukaryota; Metazoa; Arthropoda; Arachnida; Ixodida; Ixodidae. The record is from RNAcentral.
GAUUUUUUAAAUUGCUGUGGUAUUUUGACUAUACAAAGGUAUUGUAAUAAGGCUUUAAUUGAGUGCUAAAAGAAUGGACUUACAAAAAAUCUCUUUUUUGAAUUCAAAAAUUGAAAUUAUUUUUAUUUGUGAAGAAACAAUAAUUGAAUUUAAAGACAAGAAGACCCUAUGAAUUUUAAUGGAUUUUAAUAUUAGUAUAAUAUUAAAAUCCCUUUAAUUGGGGCGAUUAAAAAAUAUAAAUAACUUUUUAUAUUUAAAAUAGAUCCAUUAAUAAUGAUUACAUGAAAUAAAUACUCUAGGGAUAACAGCGUAAUAAUUUUAGAUAGAUCUUAUAGAAAAAAUAGUUUGCGACCUCGAUGUUGGAUUAGGAUACUUAUUUAAUGAAGAAGUUAAAAUAAGAAGUUUGUUCAACUUUUAAAAUCCUACUUGAUCUGA